AGUGAACGCUGGCGGUAGGCCUAACACAUGCAAGUCGAACGGCAGCACAGUAAGAGCUUGCUCUUACGGGUGGCGAGUGGCGGACGGGUGAGGAAUACAUCGGAAUCUACUUUUUCGUGGGGGAUAACGUAGGGAAACUUACGCUAAUACCGCAUACGACCUACGGGUGAAAGCAGGGGAUCUUCGGACCUUGCGCGAUUGAAUGAGCCGAUGUCGGAUUAGCUAGUUGGCGGGGUAAAGGCCCACCAAGGCGACGAUCCGUAGCUGGUCUGAGAGGAUGGUCCGCCCCACUGGAACUGAGACCCGGUCCAGACUCCUACGGGAGGCAGCGGUGGGGAAUAUUGGACAAUGGGCGCAAGCCUGAUCCAGCCAUACCGCGUGGGUGAAGAAGGCCUUCGGGUUGUAAAGCCCUUUUGUUGGGAAAGAAAAGCAGCAGGUUUAUACCCCGCUGUUCUGACGGUACCCAAAGAAUAAGCACCGGCUAACUUCGU
Molecule: ribosomal RNA, 491 nt
Filed under: uncultured bacterium
Lineage: Bacteria
Description: partial 16S ribosomal RNA
Rfam family: Bacterial small subunit ribosomal RNA
Source: RNAcentral